UGCCAGCAGCCGCGGUAAUACGAAGGGUGCAAGCGUUGUUCGGAUUUAUUGGGCGUAAAGCGCGUGUAGGCGGUUCGUUAAGUCUGAUGUGAAAGCCCGGGGCUCAACCCCGGAAGUGCAUUGGAAACUGGCGAACUUGAGUACGGGAGAGGAAAGUGGAAUUCCGAGUGUAGGGGUGAAAUCCGUAGAUAUUCGGAGGAACACCAGUGGCGAAGGCGGCGGACUGGCUGAAUACUGACGCUCAGACCCGAAAGCGUGGGGAUCAAACAGGAUUAGAUA
Molecule: ribosomal RNA, 279 nt
Filed under: uncultured bacterium
Lineage: Bacteria
Description: partial 16S ribosomal RNA
Rfam family: Bacterial small subunit ribosomal RNA
Source: RNAcentral